GUGUGUCGACGGCAGAUCUGACGGCGCCGAUUCGUGCGGGCAGCGGAGUGGCAGGUCGGCGACGGCGGCGGCGAUAGGACCUUCGAGUGUUGGGCAAGAAGGAUUUGUGUUUUGGGAUGUUUUUUUGGUAGACAUGAAUUAAUUUAUUUUUUUUGCUUCAAUAUAUGUUAAAUUUGUGAAACAUAACCAAAUUGAAGUCUAUUUUGUUAAACUGGAAUCUAAUUUGAAAAAAUAAUCUAACAAAUCUAGGUCAAUUUUGAC
Molecule: small RNA, 261 nt
Filed under: Oryza sativa Japonica Group (Japanese rice)
Lineage: Eukaryota; Viridiplantae; Streptophyta; Magnoliopsida; Poales; Poaceae
Description: sRNA Os02g0635400
Source: RNAcentral